RNAcentral lists this ribosomal RNA (253 nucleotides) under uncultured bacterium. RNAcentral's name for it is "partial 16S ribosomal RNA". It matches the Rfam family "Bacterial small subunit ribosomal RNA", at positions 524 to 776 of the family's 1533-position model. The record is from RNAcentral.
UACGUAGGGUGCGAGCGUUAAUCGGAAUUACUGGGCGUAAAGCGUGCGCAGGCGGUUGUGUAAGACAGAUGUGAAAUCCCCGGGCUUAACCUGGGAACUGCAUUUGUGACUGCACGGCUGGAGUGCGGCAGAGGGGGAUGGAAUUCCGCGUGUAGCAGUGAAAUGCGUAGAUAUGCGGAGGAACACCGAUGGCGAAGGCAAUCCCCUGGGCCUGCACUGACGCUCAUGAACGAAAGCGUGGGGAGCAAACAGG